GUCGAACGAGAUCUUCGGAUCUAGUGGCAGACGGGUGCGUAACGCGUGGCGAACCUGCCCUUUAGUAAGGAAUAACUUUAGGAAACUGAAGCUAAUACCUUAUAAUCCCCUCGGGGGAAAGCUUUAUGCGCUAAUGGAUGGGCCCGCGUUAGAUUAGCUUGUUGGUGAGGUAAAGGCUCACCAAGGCUACGAUCUAUAGCUGGUCUGAGAGGAUGAUCAGCCACACUGGGACUGAGACACGGCCCAGACUCCUACGGGAGGCAGCAGUGGGGAAUAUUGGACAAUGGGGGCAACCCUGAUCCAGCGAUGCCGCGUGAGUGAUAAAGGCCCUAGGGUUGUAAAACUCUUUCGCCAGGGAAGAUAAUGACGGUACCUGGUAAAGAAGAUCCGGCUAACUCCGUGCCAGCAGCCGCGGUAAUACGGAGGGAUCUAGCGUUAUUCGGAAUAACUGGGCGUAAAGCGAGCGUAGGCGGAUUUGUAAGUUGGAGGUGAAAUCCCAGGGCUUAACCCUGGAACUGCCUUCAAAACUACAUUUCUUGAGUUUGGUAGAGGAGAGUGGAAUUCCUAGUGUAGAGGUGAAAUUCGUAGAUAUUAGGAGGAACACCAGUGGCGAAGGCGACUCUCUGGGCCAAUACUGACGCUGAGGUUCGAAAGCGUGGGUAGCGAACAGGAUUAGAUACCCUGGUAGUCCACGCAGUAAACGAUGAGUGCUAGAUGUUGGGAACAUUAGUUUUCAGUAUCGCAGCUAACGCGUUAAGCACUCCGCCUGGGAAGUACGGCCGCAAGGCUAAAACUCAAAUGAAUUGA
Molecule: ribosomal RNA, 807 nt
Filed under: uncultured Alphaproteobacteria bacterium
Lineage: Bacteria; Pseudomonadati; Pseudomonadota; Alphaproteobacteria
Description: bacterial SSU rRNA
Rfam family: Bacterial small subunit ribosomal RNA
Source: RNAcentral